UUAACACCAUUAUCUCCUACAUCGAUGACCAGUUUGAGCGCUACCUGCAUGACGAGAGUGGACUCAACCGCAGGCACAUUGUGGACAACCGUGUGCACUGCUGCUUCUACUUCAUUUCCCCUCUGGGUCACGGGAUGAAGCCUCUAGAUGUCCAAUUCAUGAAGGCCAUUCACAACAAAGUGAAUGUCGUUCCUGUUAUUGCUAAAGCAGAUACGCUGACACUGAGGGAGAGAGAGAGACUCAAGCGCAGGAUUCUGGAUGAAAUCGAUGAGCAUGGCAUCAAGAUCUAUCA
Molecule: long non-coding RNA, 292 nt
Organism: Sinocyclocheilus anshuiensis
Lineage: Eukaryota; Metazoa; Chordata; Actinopteri; Cypriniformes; Cyprinidae
Exons: 3
Source: RefSeq, a predicted model, not a curated record